GACGAACGCUGGCGGCGUGCCUAAUACAUGCAAGUCGAACGCAGUGGGGACGGGUGAGUAACACGUGGGUAACCUCCCAUCAGAGGGGAUAACACUUGGAAACAGGUGCUAAACCGAUACUGAUGGAUGGACCCGCGGUGCAUGAGCAAGUUGGUGAGGUAACGGAUCACCAAGGCCACGAUGAAUAGCCGCCCCGAGAGGGUGAUCAGCCACACUGUGACGGAGACACGGCCCAGACUCCUACGGGAGGCAUCAGUGUGGAAUCGGCGGCAAUGGACGAAAGUCUGACCGAGCAACGCCGCGUGAGUGAAGAAAGUUUUCGGAUCGUAAAACACUGUUGUUAGAGAAGCGGUAUCUAACCAGAAAGCCACGGCUAACUACGUGCCAGCAGCCGCGGUAAUUC
This 403-nucleotide ribosomal RNA is filed under the name uncultured bacterium. RNAcentral's name for it is "partial 16S ribosomal RNA". It matches the Rfam family "Bacterial small subunit ribosomal RNA", at positions 28 to 526 of the family's 1533-position model. The record is from RNAcentral.